Molecule: long non-coding RNA, 509 nt
Organism: Panicum virgatum (switchgrass)
Lineage: Eukaryota; Viridiplantae; Streptophyta; Magnoliopsida; Poales; Poaceae
Exons: 2
Source: RefSeq, a predicted model, not a curated record
GUAAUAUCACCUCUUUGAUUUACCAAAAAAAAAUGUUGUCACGCACAAAGAUCUGAAUGCAGUAAAAAGGUUAACUAAUAUUCAGUAGUACUGGUAUUCUGCUUCUACCACCAGCACAGCAUUGCUCAAACGAACUACCUUUCCUGCAUUUUAGGUACCACUAAUACGACAUAGACUGUGCCUCUCAGCUAACUAUGCUGACCAUUUGCUCCUCUCAGUAUUAGGUUCCUAAGCCAGAAUUCAAUUUAUGCUUCACUUACUCACUAUACUUAAGAAAUAGAAUGCUAUUACAAUCACUGAUGUUGUAUCUUCUUCUAACUAGACCACCUUUUUCUUGUGCACCAUAAAGACCACCAAAGCAGAUUUGGGAGGUAGUACUCCCAUGCUGUUCAAGACAUUUACAGGUAAGGAAUUGCUGGAUUCGAGCGCCAAGGUAAAUCCCCUCCGCUCCAUUCCUUCCUGGCAUUUCCUAGGUAAAGUAAGACCAUCCCUCCCAAUAUUUGUUUUAA